RNAcentral lists this ribosomal RNA (422 nucleotides) under uncultured bacterium. RNAcentral's name for it is "partial 16S ribosomal RNA". It matches the Rfam family "Bacterial small subunit ribosomal RNA", at positions 360 to 774 of the family's 1533-position model. The record is from RNAcentral.
AUUUUUGAACAAUGGGGGCAACGCUGAUCCAGCCAUCCCGCGUGUGCGAUGAUGGCCNNNGGGUUNUAAAGCACUUUUGGCAGNGACNAAAAGGCUCUGGUUAAUACCUGGAGUUGCUGACUGUACCAGCAGAAUAAUCACCGGCUCACUACGUCCCCGCAGCCGCGGUAAUACGUAGGGUGCAAGCGUUAAUCGGAAUUACUGGGCGUAAAGCGUGCGCAGGCGGUGCGGCAAGAAGGAUGUGAAAUCCCAGGGCUUAACCUUGGAACUGCAUUCUUAACUGCCGGGCUAGAGUAUGUCAGAGGGGGGUAGAAUUCCGCGUGUAGCAGUGAAAUGCGUAGAGAUGCGGAGGAAUACCGAUGGCGAAGGCAGCCCCCUGGGAUAAUACUGACGCUCAUGCACGAAAGCGUGGGGAGCAAACA